RNAcentral lists this long non-coding RNA (225 nucleotides) under Gossypium barbadense (sea-island cotton). RNAcentral describes it as "long non-coding RNA (GBAR_LNC013426)". The record is from RNAcentral. Lineage: Eukaryota; Viridiplantae; Streptophyta; Magnoliopsida; Malvales; Malvaceae.
UUUUUUGUCCUAUACUGCACGAUUAUAACUGUCUGGCCAUACUUAUUGAGGGUUAAGUAGAUACAUCAUGGCGGAGGCUAUAAAAAUAGUGUGAAAUAAGAAAUAUUAGUGUGAUAUAGGAGUUAUAGGUUAGCCUGAAAGUGCAAAACAAGAAGAAAACAAAUCCAGACGAGUAGAAAAAAAUACCUAAAAUGCCAAAAAAGCAUUCUUAAGUGAGAAAAAAAU